GGACCCGCACAAGUAGUGGAGCAUGUGGUUUAAUUCGAAGAUACGCGCAGAACCUUACCAACACUUGACAUGUUCGUCGCGACUUUAAGAGAUUAAAGUUUUCGGUUCGGCCGGACGAAACACAGGUGCUGCAUGGCUGUCGUCAGCUCGUGUCGUGAGAUGUUGGUUAAGUCCCGCAACGAGCGCAACCCUCACUUUUAGUUGCCAUCAUUUAGUUGGGCACUCUGAAAGAACUGCCAGUGAUAAGCUGGAGGAAGGUGGGGAUGACGUCAAGUCCUCAUGGCCCUUACGUGUUGGGCUACACACGUGCUACAAUGGUAGUGACAAUGGGUUAAUCCCAAAAAGCUAUCUC
This 352-nucleotide ribosomal RNA is filed under the name uncultured bacterium. Its description in RNAcentral is "bacterial SSU rRNA". It matches the Rfam family "Bacterial small subunit ribosomal RNA", at positions 917 to 1289 of the family's 1533-position model. The record is from RNAcentral.